GGCACGGGUCUAGAGCCUUCCCAUCCACAUGCACUGCUUUAGAACCUUCCCUCAGUGGCCGAUAGGUCGUGUUGGGAUCUUUGCUUAAGAACGCGUUGACCUCAGGCUGUUCAGGGUUUAAUACCCAGCUGGAGGUAAGGUCAAAAUACACUGACUUCUUUUUCACGACGUACAUUUGUCUGUAUGUCCCCUGUUGUUAGGAGUUAUUUUCUUGUGACUUUGUUGUUGUCAUUGAAAGCGGUCCCUUUUCACCUCUGGGGGCAAGUGACCGCCUCUGCAUUUUGCGGUAAGUUCUGAGUCCAGUCCCUUCAUCCGAGGUGUGUAAUGAAAGCACACUGCGUUCCCAGAGAAGGCUCCCACCUGCCGUCUGUUUGAUGUUACAGACCUCGGCGGUUGUGUACAGAUGUUACCAUGCCCGUGUUGAAUAUCCGUAUGUAUACGUGUGUGGCAUUAAUAUUGUGUGUGUGGAUGUAUGUGCAUUGGCGGGUAUAUAUAAAAGCGUGGGUGUGUGUUACAUGUCAUUGUAAACGACGUAUGGUAUAGGGACAUGAAUGUCCGUUUUGUCCAAGACCAAAAACAUGUGUUUAUGACAGAAUAUGGAAAUUUUUUUCUUUGUCUUUUUAGGGCCGCACCUGUGGCAUAGGGUGGUUCCCAGGCUAGGGGUCUAAUCAGAGCUGUAGCCACUGGCCUACGCCAGAGCCACAGCAACGCGGGAUCUGAGCCGAGUCUGCAACCUACACCACAGCUCACGGCAACGCCGGAUCCUUAACCCACUGAGCAAGGCCAGGGACCGAACCCGCAACCUCAUGGUUCCUAGGCGGAUUCGUUAACCACUGCGCCACGACGGGAACUCUCUGGCUUUUUUUAAAAGAUGAGGAAUGAACUGGGUUUUCGUCAGUGUCCCUGUAAACUUAAUCUGGAGGUUCUUAUACAAAUGCAGACUCCUGACCCCACCUUGGACCAUGUGGGACCUCCAAGUGUGGGCUUUUAAGCAAAGUUCUUUAGGCACUGUCACCUGCGCUCCCAGGAACACCUCCUACAAGGAGGUGCAGAGGCUGGAGGGAGAGACGAGCCUUGGGCCCCCUAAAGACCACAGCGCGGAGGACAGCUCACGCCACACCCACUGACCAUGGCAGCGCAGGGAUUCCAGCGGCAGCACGCAUUUAACGCGUGCCAAUCCUCAUUCAUAUUGCUUUCUCAGUCUUUGCAGCCACGAUCUACCAAGGCAUCAAAUCAAGGUCUGGAAACAUGACGUUUUUAGCGGAGGAAAUGGCCUUGAUCAAAACCAGGUUUUUAGUGGUGAUCCUCGAAUGAAGUAGCCCAUUAUCAGCUUCCUACAGAUCUCCGCAGAGCUGUUCCCAGGCAGCAGGGAAGCAGGCUUCACCAGGGCCACUUCCCUGGCCAUCACGCCUACUGCGAGUGAGUCAUGCCUUUUGUCCUGUGCCUGGAAUUUGGGGAUGUUUAUGAAAAGCUGUUGUAAAUACAAGUCCUAAUUCCUCUUUUCACAAGAUUCUUUAUUUCAGCAAAAUGAGUAGCCCCUCACGUACAAAUAUCAUGUCACUUCCAGUCCCAUUGUCACCUGGAAAUAUCCUCUCGGGCUCUUUUACUAGAGAUUAUUUAAAGGCGUUUGAGGACACCGUGCCAUGGAAGUCCUCCAGGGAACAUGGUUUCUGGGUUCCUGCCAAUCCUAUGAAAAUACGCUUCUGCGUCAACUGUACCUCCUUCAUCUUUGGAGGGCAGAAGGUGGAGCUUGGCAUGAAAAAAGAAAUGCUCAUGAAAGGCAAAGUAUCUCUUUAACGCCGACUUUUGGAGGUUAAUGUCUGCUUCCCUGUUUCAUUUAAGGUCCCCACGUAGGUGGCAGCGUAGUUCACACAUGAUCCCGACGACCUUCUUCCUCAGCAGUGAAACCUUAUCUUCAAAGUAAACGGCUCCGAUAUUACACAUUAACAUUUGAAGCUAGAGUGCGAUGUUGGUCACUUUUUACAAGCAGAGAGUGGGUCCCUUGAGCUUUCUUGCUGGGUGGCAUCUCGCGGCUUCCUCCUGACACCCUCCAGCAUGGUGUUAGGCUAGACCAGAUGCGUACAGUAAAGCCGGACAUCGCCCAGCCCGCCCGGCUGGUCUCAAGCCAAACAAACAAAGCCCAUGAAGAAGACGGCAUUCCACUGAAUCCCUGGUAACAGAAACACCUGCAGAUGUUAUGUAAACUGUCACUUAUCCCUGUUUGGACUCGGCGCAUGUUAACGGAGGGAGAAGAGAAAGUUGGAAAUAAAACGGUCGGAUGUGUGGGUCUGAUCAAUAGUCUGGGAGAAAUAAGUGCACUACUUACGGAAGCAAGUAUUUAAAACAGAGUUUUUUAAAGAAAGAAAUGACGGUGUCUAAGGGACAUACUGAAAUAGAGUUGUCCGGAAGUAGGUGCAGUUACAUUCGUGCAAAUUUCAGCUAUUUUUCAAGGCUCUGAGGCAGGUGAAUUAUUAACUGGGCGUUUGGUGUAAUUUGACCGUUUGACAACAAGAUGAGAAAGAAGGCAGCCUGGGAAACACUGGCCUUGAUUUUUAAUUCUGUUCAAUAGAAGAUAGUAACAAAGGCCUCUUUCAUGGGUGGUUUAAAACUCUGGAGAGCAGAAUUUCUCAAACGAGUGUGUAUGCACAUUACCUGGAGACUUUGCUAAAUGCAGAUUCUGGUUUAACGGGUGUGAGGCAGGGCCUGAGAAUCUGCAUUUUGAGGACGCUCCCAGGUGAAGCCCACCCAGCUGAUGGGAGGAGCAGGCUGAGUAGUCGGCACCCUUGGUUGUGCUGUCUCUUGGCAGUUGUGGAACACAGCGGAUCUGUGGCCACAGGAACCACGAGAAGCUCUGCAUCUCACAGCUGCAGUGCAGAAAGCCCUGAACACCCGGACGACGGGUCCAGCCAGCCACCCUAACCCUCGCAGCUGCCAACCUGCUUGGCUCUGUUAUCCAUCAGAGUCCUUGUUCUGAGAUUCAAAAGUGUGCUUUACACCUUCCAGUGAGACGAUCGCGUGCCACUAUAGAGAUGGCUGUGGGUAGUGAUGACUUGCCGGCUUCAUCAGAGACAACAGGGUUCCAGUGUCACAGAGAAAUCUGGGCCCCACAGACCGCAUCCUUUUGGGAGAAGCCGUUGGAAAUGGACGUUGCUGUCAACGUCUUCCUCUCAGGAUGAGCUCCCAUUUUUCUUCCCAUAUCCCCAGUCCUGCUUGUUGUUUUAUUUCACAAAAUGUGUUAGUGGAAUUUUAUCAGGAAUGAGAGACAUCUGGUGCUAGUUGUUCUGCCACAGAGAAACACUAGGGAUUUUGGAAAUUCAGGUCAAGGCCAAAGGCAAAGUCCUGUGUGGAGAGGUUGCAGCUAAAUCCCUAGGUCAGCCAGGACUGAGUUUGUACCGUUGACAUGAUUGUGUUUGGUUAAGAAUCACAGGGUUGGAGUUCCCAUUGUGGCUCAGAGGGUUAAGAGCUUGACAUAGUGUCCGUGAGGAUGCGGGUUUGAUCCCUGGCUUUACUCAGUGGGUUAAGGAUCUGGUGUUGCUGUGAGCAUUGGUGUAGGUCGCCGACCCGGCUUGGAUCCCAUGUUGCCGUGGCUGGGGGUGGGGGCGGAUCGGAAGCUGCAGCUCUGAUUGGACCUCUAGCCUGGGAACCUCCAUAUGCCAAAGGUGCAGCCCUAAAAAAAAAAAAAAAAAAAA
RNAcentral lists this long non-coding RNA (3689 nucleotides) under Sus scrofa (pig). RNAcentral describes it as "lncRNA (ENSSSCG00045024700.1)". The record is from RNAcentral. Lineage: Eukaryota; Metazoa; Chordata; Mammalia; Artiodactyla; Suidae.